UACGUAGGGCGCAAGCGUUGUCCGGAAUUAUUGGGCGUAAAGAGCUCGUAGGCGGCCUGUUACGUCUGCUGUGAAAUCCCGGGGCUUAACCCCGGGCGUGCAGUGGAUACGGGCAGGCUGGAGGCAGGCAGGGGAGAACGGAAUUCCCGGUGUAGUGGUGAAAUGCGUAGAUAUCGGGAGGAACACCAGUGGCGAAGGCGACUUCCUGGCCUGUUCUUGACGCUGAGGCGCGAAAGCUAGGGUAGCAAACGGG
This 253-nucleotide ribosomal RNA is filed under the name uncultured bacterium. RNAcentral's name for it is "partial 16S ribosomal RNA". It matches the Rfam family "Bacterial small subunit ribosomal RNA", at positions 524 to 776 of the family's 1533-position model. The record is from RNAcentral.